Molecule: long non-coding RNA, 3858 nt
Filed under: Sus scrofa (pig)
Lineage: Eukaryota; Metazoa; Chordata; Mammalia; Artiodactyla; Suidae
Description: lncRNA (ENSSSCG00025054563.1)
Rfam family: tRNA (bases 2329-2402)
Source: RNAcentral
CUUUUUAGGGCCGUACCUGCAGCAUAUGGAAGUUCCCAGGCUAGGGCUUGAAUCAGAGCGGUAGCUGCCAGCCUAUGCCACAGCCACAGCAAUAAGGGAUCUGAGCUGCGUCUGCGACCUGCACCACAGCUCAUGGCAACACUGGAUCCUUAACCCAUUGAGCAAGGCCAGAGAUCAAAGUUGCAACAUUAUGGAUACUAGUUGAGUUCAUUACCACUGAGCCUCGAUCGGAACUCCUCCCCUCCCUUUUUUUUUUUUAAAGACAGGCUGCAUCCUCCUUCCCUUGCUGAAGAAUUAGAGGUGCCAGGAAGGGUCCUGGAGGUGGAGGGGAGUGUGUCAGUCCUACAGGGCUGGGGAAGGCCUCUUAGAGAUGGUGAUGUUUGGUUUGAACUGUGAAAGAUUAGUAGGGUCUCCAGACAGGGGACCUGUGAGCCUGUGAGGGGCAGAUAGGCAGAAUGUGGCAGACAAAGGGAGCAAGAGGAACCGCAGAGUGUAAGGGAUUGGAGGUGAGUGGGGAGGCCAGGCCAGAGGGAUCUGACUGAUGUCUUGCAGGUAAUGGGGGAGCCAGGAGGUUGCCAGAUAGGGGAGUGCUGUGAGCAGGUGUAGAGCUGGACUACAGACAUGAGGCUGGGAUUACAGCUACCGGGAGAAUAAGAUUCUGAGCUGGGGUCUGUGGGGGCACGGAGGUCCCCAGGCCUUAACAUAGUGUCUAUUUAAUUCUCAUAAGCCCACAUUCAUUUCCAUCUUGCCAUCACCCAAGCCUCCAAGUCUUGGGCCCCCAUCAUCUCUGGCCUGAAAGACUAUGGCAGCCUCUUCACUGGGCUUCCCUUCUGCACACCCCCACCCACAACAGCCCAUUCCUCAUAAAGGACAAAACAGAAGGGGUUUACAAAACAUUACCAUGGUGACUCUACCCCCCUGGCUAAGACCCUUCAAUGACACCCCACUGCCUUGAGCAUCAAGACCAAAUUUGAAUUCUUAACUUGGCAUUCCAGGCCCUUAGCAAUCAGCCCCUACACCCAUUAUGUGCAGCCUCCUCUCCCUAAAACAUUCCAGCUGACCUGGGCUAGUUACAAUCUCAGUCACCGGCCUCUUAGCCUUUGUCCUCUCCCACCUCUCCAUCCACUAUGGAUAUGCCAUCUUAGCCUUUAAGUAGCAGGUUAAAGCUACCAAGUCUAAGUCACCUUUCCAAUCCUUGUCCUCAGUGCCCUGCUUUUGAUGUUACCGUUGUGGCUCAGUGGGUUAAGAACCCUACAUAGUGUCUGUGAGGAGGCCAGUUUGAUCCCUGGCCUUGCACAAUGGGUUAAGGAUCUGGCACUGCCGUGAGCUGUGGUGUAUAUAGGUUGUAGAUGCAGCUUGGCUGUGGUGUAGCUACAGCUCCGAUUCGACUCCUAGCCUGGGAACUUCCACAUGCUACAGGUGUGGCUGUAAAAAGGAAAGGAAAAAAAAAAGUGGGGGGGGUGGGAGUUAUUCUCAAAAGAAAUACCGCCUGGGAGUUCUUGCUGUAGCACAGCAGGUUAAGGACCUGACAUUAUCUCUGUGGCCGGCAUGGGUUCAAUCCCUGGCCAGAUGCAGUGGGUUAAGGAUCCAGCAUGGUUUCACCUCAGAUGUGAUCCCUGACCCGGGAACUUCCAUAUCCUUGAGUAUGGCCAAAACAAAACAAAAAAACCCCAAAACAAAAACAACCCCCCCUAAUCCAGACACCAGACUCCAGGAGGGAUAUGCUGGGACAAAGGUGAAUCCUCAAAGACAUUACAUAUUGGCAGAGUUGUGAUGGCAGCCUCUGUGUACAGGGGCUUCUAGGUGCUAGGCUCUGUGCUAGGGGUGACUCCCAUAUGACCAUAUUUCAUCUUACAACAACCCAGUGGUGUAGGGACCACCAGUGGUGUGGGGACCACAGCACCCCUGAUUUACACACAAAGAACCAGCAGUUUAGCAAGCAAGUGCUUUGCUCUGAGUCACAUGGCUGGAUCUACAGCUGGCACCAAGAGCUACCUGCUGUCAAAAAUACAUUGAUGAGGCAGAUCUGUGGCAUCCUCUGGUAAAGGAAACCAGCCCAGGUCUGGAGGACAGUGGCAGCUAUAACAAAGGAGGGAGCAAGGGCAAGCCCUGGGGCUGCAGGAUGGGAGAUGGGACAGUAAGAAAGAGCCAUGGAAGCACAGCAUGAGGCGGAAGAUGGAUCAGGUGUGGACUUUUCAGAGCUAAGCCCUUGGAAGGUAGGUGGUGGGGAUGCUGAGUCCCGAUUAUUUCUGGAACUCAAUGGGGGCAGACGGGCAGCCUCAGAAAAAGUUGGUGCAAAAGGGAAGGCAAAAGUUGCUGGAGUGGAACUCUCUGGUGCCUUAGUGGUUAAGGAUUCCUUGUUGUCACAACUUGUGGCAUAGGUUCGAUCCCUGUCUGGGGAACUUCUGCAUGCCCCAUGCGAGGCCAAAAAAGUUGCUUGGGUAUGCACCCAGGAUAGGAAUCUGGUUUGUGAAUGGAGGCAAGAGGUAGCAAAUCUGAUUCUGUCCACAAGAGGGUGCCCAGCACCAGGCAAUGAAGCUGCCCUGGGACUUGGGGGUGGUUUGUUGCUGGUUCCCCAGCCCUCCUGGGAGGGAAGAAGUGGAGAAGGGGAUAAACCCAAUUCACUACCUUGAAAUUCCAGCAUCAGAAACAAGCACAGAUGGAAAGGAUGAAUUUAGGUCGGUGAGUGUUUUCUCACUGAGACCCUUAUCAUCUCAGGCCAGUUAUUUCCCUUUAUAUUGAGAAACACAAGUCAGUAGGUUUCUUGACUGCAUCCUUGGUAAAAUUUGAACGGUCUCUUCCUUUGAAACAUACCUUCCAAAUGGAACAACUAUUUCCUAUUUUCCAUCUCCCUGUGUCUCUACGACAAGGAAUCAUACAGUAAUACAUAUAUCAAACAGUAGUGCAGUAUUUCAAUAAUUGCAAUUUCCAGGAUUCUAUUUUCAAAUCUGCCUAGUCUCUCAGGUUUUGCUCAUUUUUUUUAGCACCAUCUUUAGAGGUUUCAGAGUUAUUUUAUAUUCUGUGCCUGAUAAUAACAGUAUCUGAAAUUCCACGGGUUUUAUUUAUUUACUUACUUAUUGGCUGCAACUGUAGCAUGUGGAAGUUUCCAGGCCAGGGUUUGGACCUGUGACACAGCAGCAACCCAAGCUGCUGCAGUGACAAUGACGGAUCCUUAACCUGUUGGACCACAAGAGAACACCAGGAAGUAUUUUAUUGUUGCUCCAAGUUUAAGAAUUUUCACUGAGAGAAAAUCAACACUUUCAGCAAAUUUCCCUCAUGGCUCUGCUUCUGAAUCUUGGUUUUCACAGACAUAUUUCUCUCCAAUAUGGACAAUCAUUCUACUCACGAUUGGCGCAUCAAUCUUAACUUCCAAUACUUGCCCUUUACUUAGGAAGCUCUUCAGGACUGUUUUUAAUCCAGUAAGAGUGGCUUCAUCGAAAGGAGAUGUAGUGAUAACUGCAAGGUACUUCUCCAGUGUGGACAGACAUCAUGGUAGAAAAAGCAGAAAUGACUCCAGGGUUAUUGCUCAAGCGACCAUUUUCAGCAAGCAAAUUGAUCAGGUUGGCUGUGAGGGGAGAAAACCUCUCUUUUGCUAUCAUGUCAUAUAGGCUUUUCACUUUAAUGCAAUGCUUUACAUAGGGAUUCAUAAUAGGAGCAACCAAGUUUUCCUUCAAGAUUUGUGCUACUCCCAACAAUUCUUUUGCUACUUGUUCCAGUUUAUUCUGAUUAGAAACAGCAGAUUAAAGAGCAGUGACAUAGUGACCUUCGAUACCACAUAUGUGAACAGGUGGCCUGACCACGGAUGUACUGAAGUAUUAUUGCCCCUGCUGGGAGGUCAGGACACUGCUGGGCAGCCUC